Long non-coding RNA from Numida meleagris (helmeted guineafowl), 1646 nucleotides. RefSeq lists it as uncharacterized. The transcript has 2 exons. The record is from RefSeq and is a predicted model, not a curated record. NCBI's taxonomy places the organism in Eukaryota, Metazoa, Chordata, Aves, Galliformes, Numididae.
GCUUUGUACGGGUUGCAGCGUCGGUACUUUCGGGCAUCCUCUUGCAUCGCAGCGUUUUGUACCAUAACCGGCACCGUCUUCUUGCACUGGCAAAUUUACGAGCGGGAGGCAAACCCGCAAGGCAGCGCUGCAGGGAGCGAGGCGGCGCGCGGAGCAGCGGCUCGAGAGCAGGUGGUGCCGCCGCGCGGUGCAUACAAGUGCUCAUCAGCUGUUGACUUAAGAUGGACCUAGACUGCACUGGUUUAUCACUAAUUCUUCAACUCCUCCUGCACCUGUACAGUGAGAGAUGACAGCGUCAGAAGACAUCUGGUUCCAGUGAGCUCUGCGUGCUCAGUUUGUGGUUAAUUACAGGACAGGUGUUUGGCACCAGCCGUGUUCAAGGAAUGAGUAGCUCCGUACUUGUAAUACUCUGCUUUCCUGGCUCUGAAGAUCGUUUUGAAGCUGCUUCUGAUGUUGUGAUGAUGUGCAUUCCUUUCACCAGAGUGUAAUUUAGAAUUUGAUGGCAGGCUUUCAGUGAUACUUUUUCGAGUAUUCAGAGUCGUCGCUUCCUUUUUUCCUGCUAGCGUACAAAGAAAUUCCAUGUUAAGAAAGUAAAAUGUCAAAGCUUAUAAAUUGUUACAGGCAUUUGACAGAAGCUCAUCCUUUGGUAAAGUAAAAACAGCACGUGCAUCACUGCGUGAUUUUUGCUAUUUUUUUUAAAUCACAGAAGUAGGAUACCCAGCUUAUAAACUAGAUCUAGUGUGUUAGUUUUAAUUUAGAUUUUAAAGUGACAGCUGCAGCAUACUAUUCUAGUCAAUAAAAAGUUAACAGUUACACGAAAAGCAUGUAUAUAUAUUCUUCCUCUCUUUUAAUUUUUACCAGAAAGAAUAACUAAAACAGUUUAGCUAGAUAAGACCAAAACUGAAAGCUUCUUUUGUGCAUUGUUAUUGUCAGAUUGUGUAAAAUUACAGCAUUAAAAAGCAGGUUGUGUACAGAUCGCCUCAGAUGAGGUUCCACCUAGAAAAAAACCUACCACACAAUCUGUGAACAGAAGCACCUGCUAAUUAACAUCAGCCAAUUGCGUCCAGUCCAUGUGGCUUUUCUGAAAAACAAAACCAAAUCCAUCCAACCAACCAAAACCACCACCAAACCUGCCCACAAACAGAAGCUGUAUUUUCCGCUAACAAUAAGAACUGGUAAAAAAAUAAAACAAUGAAAUUUUUAUUAAAUCUUAGAAGCUUAAAGUGUCCAUAGAACUGCGUGCUAAAGGGCAUUAGUAUUUAAGAGACCAAAGUAGGAAUUCAAAACAUGACUCCUUUAAAGCAGGUAACCUGACAUUUUAUUUUCCUCUUAUCUAAAAGGAACUGAGUACAAGGGGGCAUGCUGGUUGGAAAAUUUGACUUUUUGUCUGCACAGUCUCCCUGUCUUUUUUUUCCUUUUUUUUUUUUCCCCUUUUUUUAAAGUGGCAAGUUUGGUGCUUUUAGCAAAUAUUCUAGUUCAGACCAAAAGUGUAACGGCACCCACCCUUACUACAAUUAGGUAAAUUGAGUACAAUGUUACUGACACAUACUCAAUUUUGUAAUUUAAUCUUUAAGUUGCACAAGACUAGAUGCUACCAAAAGCUGUAAUUUCAAAUGGUCCUUACACAGCAACUGUAUGCGUAAAUA